Molecule: ribosomal RNA, 600 nt
Filed under: uncultured actinomycete
Lineage: Bacteria; Bacillati; Actinomycetota; Actinomycetes; Actinomycetales
Description: bacterial SSU rRNA
Rfam family: Bacterial small subunit ribosomal RNA
Source: RNAcentral
GUGAGGUAACGGCUCACCAAGGCAUCGACGGGUAGCUGGUCUGAGAGGAUGAUCAGCCACACUGGGACUGAGACACGGCCCAGACUCCUACGGGAGGCAGCAGUGGGGAAUAUUGCACGAUGGGCGCAAGCCUGAUGCAGCGAUGCCGCGUGCGGGAUGAAGGCCCUAGGGUUGUAAACCGCUUUCAGUAGGGAAGAAAAUGACGGUACCUACAGGAGAAGGUGCGGCCAACUACGUGCCAGCAGCCGCGGUGACACGUAGGCACCAAGCGUUGUCCGGAUUUAUUGGGCGUAAAGAGCUCGUAGGCGGUUCAGUUAGUCGGGUGUGAAAACUCUGGGCUCAACCCAGAGACGCCACCCGAUACUGCUGUGACUUGAGUGCGGUAGGGGAGUGGGGAAUUCCUGGUGUAGCGGUGAAAUGCGCAGAUAUCAGGAGGAACACCAGUGGCGAAGGCGCCACUCUGGGCCGUAACUGACGCUGAGGAGCGAAAGCAUGGGUAGCAAACAGGAUUAGAUACCCUGGUAGUCCAUGCCGUAAACGUUGGGCACUAGGUGUGGGUCUCAACCAACGAGAUCCGCGCCGCCGCUAACGCAUUAAGUG